AGUGAACGCUGGCGGUAGGCCUAACACAUGCAAGUCGAACGGCAGCACAGUAAGAGCUUGCUCUUACGGGUGGCGAGUGGCGGACGGGUGAGGAAUACAUCGGAAUCUACUUUUUCGUGGGGGAUAACGUAGGGAAACUUACGCUAAUACCUCAUACGACCUACGGGUGAAAGCAGGGGAUCUUCGGACCUUGCGCGAUUGAAUGAGCCGAUGUCGGAUUAGCUAGUUGGCGGGGUAAAGGCCCACCAAGGCGACGAUCCGUAGCUGGUCUGAGAGGAUGAUCAGCCACACUGGAACUGAGACACGGUCCAGACUCCUACGGGAGGCAGCAGUGGGGAAUAUUGGACAAUGGGCGCAAGCCUGAUCCAGCCAUACCGCGUGGGUGAAGAAGGCCUUCGGGUUGUAAAGCCCUUUUGUUGGGAAAGAAAAGCAGCAGGUUAAUACCCCGCUGUCCUGACGGUACCCAAAGAAUAAGCACCGGCUAACUUCGUG
This 492-nucleotide ribosomal RNA is filed under the name uncultured bacterium. RNAcentral's name for it is "partial 16S ribosomal RNA". It matches the Rfam family "Bacterial small subunit ribosomal RNA", at positions 29 to 507 of the family's 1533-position model. The record is from RNAcentral.